RNAcentral lists this small nucleolar RNA (72 nucleotides) under Cyclopterus lumpus (lumpfish). Lineage: Eukaryota; Metazoa; Chordata; Actinopteri; Perciformes; Cyclopteridae. The record is from RNAcentral.
UCUAGAAGUGAUGUUUCUUAUUACCGCCCCAGUCUGAAAAUUCAUGACUGAUUGGUACCUCUCUGAUCAAAA